This 22515-nucleotide long non-coding RNA is filed under the name Citrus sinensis (sweet orange). Its description in RNAcentral is "long non-coding RNA (CSIN_LNC003957)". Lineage: Eukaryota; Viridiplantae; Streptophyta; Magnoliopsida; Sapindales; Rutaceae. The record is from RNAcentral.
GACACCAAAGUUAGCAACUACUGCAAGUUUGACAGCCAACUAUUAACCACCUUCACCUCCUCUCUAUACAUCGCUGGCCUUAUUGCUUCCUUGUUUGCCUCCUCAGUCACCAGAGCCUUCGGCCGCAAAGCAUCAAUUCUUGUCGGCGGCACAGCUUUUCUUGCUGGUUCAGCCCUCGGAGGAGCCGCAUUUAACAUUUACAUGCUGAUAUUUGGGCGCGUGUUGCUUGGUGUUGGCAUUGGUUUUGCAAACCAAGCAAGUGUUUGACUAUUAUUAUUAUUAUUAUUAUUAUUUGGUUGGUUGAUCAGUUAGUUUUAAUUUGUUGGUUGUAGUCAGUGCCACUAUAUCUCUCAGAAAUGGCACCACCAAAACACAGAGGAGCAUUCAACAUUGGCUUUCAAGUUUGUAUUGCCAUUGGUGUUUUAUCCGCUAAUCUUCUCAACUACGGCACCCAAAAGAUCAAGGGCGAUUGGGGCUGGAGAAUAUCCCUAGCGAUGGCUGCAGCGCCUGCUUCAAUACUAACAUUAGGUGCACUUUUCAUGCCAGAAACACCAAACAGCAUAAUCCAGCGCAGCAAUGACCACCAAGAGGCUAAAAGGAUGCUGCAGCGUGUGCGCGGCACAGCUGAUGUUGAAGCUGAACUCAAUGAUCUUAUCAGAGCAAGCUCCAUCUCAAAAACUAUCAACCACCCAUUUAACAAAAUCAUACAAAGGAAAUACAGGCCUCAGCUAGUAAUGGCGAUACUGAUACCAUUUUUCCAACAAGUGACAGGAAUCAAUAUCAUUGGGUUAUACGCUCCUGUACUACUCAGGACGCUUAAACUAGGUGAAAGUACAUCACUACUCUUGUCCGCAGUCGUGACUGGUGGCAUAGGUACAGUUUUAACAAUCACAUCAAUGAUUCUAGUCGAUAAACUUGGCAGGAAAAUAUUGUUUUUAGUUGGGGGUAUACAGAUACUUGUUUCACAAGUAAUUAUUGGUUCAAUCAUGGCUGCUGAGCUCGGUGAUCACGGGGGAUUGAGCCAAAGUUAUGCUUACUUAAUUUUAGUCCUGGUAUGUGUAUAUUCAGCCGGGUUUUCAUAUUCAUGGGGGCCAUUGGCAUGGUUGGUUCCGAGCGAAAUUUUUCCAUUGGAGAUUAGAUCAGCAGGGCAAAGUAUUACCGUUGCAGUUACCCUUGUGUUUAUUUUCUUCAGUGCGCAAACACUUUUAGCGAUGCUUUGCCAUUUUAAGGCAGGGAUUUUCUUCUUCUUUGGAGGAUGGGUAAUUGUGAUGACUACAUUUAUGCACUUAUUUUUGCCAGAGACUAAGAAUGUGCCAAUUGAGCAGAUGGAUAAAGUCUGGAGACAACAUUGGUUUUGGAAGAAAUACGUGGGUGAAGUGGAUGAAGAGGGUUAGAUGUAAGAGGCUUGAUUUGCCUCCAAGGCGUGAUCGGAUUGGUAACAGCACGAAACUUGUGGCUGCUGACCACCGAAUUCAAUCCUUAGAGGUAAUAAUAGAGAAAAAAAAAAUUAUUUAAGCUUUGCCCACCCCUUACUUUAUUAAAAAAAAAAAAAUUGAUUUCUACUUAAUUUUGCCUGUAAGUUUCAAACUUUCAAUAUUUCAGCUCUGCGUUUUAUUUGACUUAUCAAUUCGCUGUAAUUCGUUUGUGGGAGAUUCUUUUAUGCUGUGUUUAAAUAUAAGCACUAAGCCCAUCAAAAUCCUUUACUUGAGAAAAGCUGCAAAGUCCAUCAAAAUCUAUAGACAUGUAAUGGUCAAACACGUUGAAUAACAACCCACUUGAAGUAAAUAACACUUGAAGCAAAUAAUCACUUUCCUUUUAACAAAAAAUAUUUUAAUAACAAAAAAUUUAUUUUUUUGAAUGGCGUUUUGAGGGAACAUUGAUUUAUUUAAAAGAAUUUCGUGGGCAAAGUGGAUGGGCAUGGCAACAUGGAAGAGAAAUGAUUUUCAUUUUAUCGAAAUGAGGAAUAAGUUAAAAGAUAAAAAUAAAUACAUAUAUAUUUAAAUAUUUUAUUUUUAUUUUUUUUUUAUUCAAUAAAUUAUAUAUAUAUAUACACACACAUUUUUAAUUUGAUCUUUAUUUUAAUAAAAUGAAGAAUUUUUUCCUGGACCUACGUGUAUUUAGAUCAAUAAAGGGUAAAAAAAAGAAAGUCCUCUUUGAUUUCAUGACUAAAUGUUUGGUAGGACUCAGCAGUUUUAAUUGAUAAUUGGCCACUGUCUCUUUAUCAAUGCAGUUGUGAAUUACACAUAGCACCUCACAUUAAUUAGUCUUCAAUAGUCAACAACCACAACCCCACUUACAGCCAUGAUGAUUACAAGGUGACAAUGCUGAUAGAAAUAUCUCAAUUUUUUUUUAUCUCAAAUUCUAUCUUAAAUGAUAUAUUAUUCAUUUAUUGGUUGAUAUUUUUUACAAGAUUCAAGUGAAUUAAUUUUAUUAUUCUCACCGACCAAUUGAUAAAAAUCAUAUCAUUUAACAUAAUUUUUUAAGAUAAAAAAAUUUCAUAUGUGUAUCACUACUCCAUGCAAAAAUGUUAAAAUUGAAAGAUGAAAGAGUGCUAAUAGAAAUAACAGUACAUUGGAGGAGUUUAUAUGAUAAUUAAUUAUUUUUCAAUUAAUACAGUAACUCUGGUCGGAUAUGAAGUUAUUUCUUGCUGUUAAAAUCUUCUGUUUAGAUUCUCAUGAUAUUAGUGUUUUCUAUGCGCCUGAGUCAAGAAAGACUGCACGCAGCUACUUUUUAAACCUUCACUAUCUGCAAUCUUGAUCACAAAUUAACGACACUUCUAACUUUUCUCACUCUCCUUUCUCUCUUGCUGUGAGUGCUGAUUAGUUUUGAAGAUAAAGCAGCAGCCAAUAUGGCAGCAGGCUUAGCAAUAACUAGUGAAGGCGGGCGGUAUUACAACGGGAAGAUGACUGUAUUUGUUGUCUUGUCUUGUAUUGUUGCUGCCACUGGCGGGCUUAUUUUCGGCUAUGAUAUUGGAAUUUCAGGUUCUUUUUCCUGCUCAUAUCUCCUUUAUAAUAUAAUUCAUCUGGCCCUGAUGGGUCUAAAUCCCCCAAUCAUCUUUAAUCUUCUCCAUCCGCUCCAUCCGAUCAAUGACCUUGGAUUAGGCUGGCUUGCGGAGUGCCAUAUAAAAUCGGUAGAAACUUAUAAUUACAAUCAGCUAAAUUAAACUUAGCUGCCCAGUGCAUAUGAAUGUUUAUCAAACAACUUAAUUGUCAAGUAAAGAUUACUAUUAAUUCUGCUGUACGGCCAAGGCGGAUGUACGGUACAGCAGUGCUUCUCGAGAGCUUUUCCUUCUGCCUAGUUAACCAUUUCUUUUUUUUGAACAAAAUGGUUAAGUAAAGAUGCUCGCUUGCAAUUGCUCAUGCAAAUGUGAUUUUUUUUAAUGAUUUAAUAUGAUGAUUUUCUUUUCGUGAUUAUUCUCUUUUGUUACAGUUUGAAAAAUGUGUGUGUGUGAUUUUCAAAGAUCAGGGGAAGUCUCUGAAGUCUGAAGUGAUACAUUGCUUUUUGAAAAUAAAAUAUUAGUUGAUGAUAUUAUAUAUUAAGUUUACGAGUAAUGAUAUAGAUACAAACUCUUGUAUAAACUUAUUUUGUACAAACUGAUGUGUCGUUAAUUCAUUAGUUGAAUUAAAUAUCUCUUGACUCACAUGAUUUAUUUUUAUUAUUUUAUAUUUUUAUUCAACUAAUGAAUUAAUGUCACGUCAGUUUGUAUAAGAGUUUGUGGUUGUAUCAUUACUAUAAUUUUACAUUGUUUUUUGAAAAAAGAAAAUAUUAGUCGAUGAUAUUAUAUGUUAAUUUUAACUUUUAAUUAAGAAACUUUUGAAUUGUCAACUCCUGAAAUAGUUGGAGCUUUACAAAGGAUGAAGCAAAUGGAGAAACAUUAAGCAAAAUGAAUGGCGAUGUAGCCAUGGCUUCUGCAUAUAAUGAUCAUGAGAAUGGUAUUCACAUAGAAAAUCAUAGUGGUUCAGGCCGGAGUGGAGAUUUUAUGGAUGUUGAUUUGUUGGAGGAAGAGCCUUGUAUUAAGUGUAAUAGACGUGAUGAGAACCUGUUGGUUUGUAGUCAAUCUGGAUGCCUAAUUUCUGUACAUGAAAACUGCCUGAGCUGUGGAGUUGAAUUUGAUGAUGUGGGAAACUUUUACCGUCCCUAUUGUUGGUAUAAAUGUGAAUUGAUGAGGACAAAGGAGUUGAGGAAGAAGGCUAUGGAAACAAAGAAAAAGUUGGCAUGUUUUAUUGAUUCUAAAAGUUUUAGUGGUGAUAAAAAGAAGGAGAAUUGUAGAACAGAUAAAGCAAAUGAGCUGAGUAUAUCAUCUCUUCAUGAAGAGAGAAAUUACGGUUAUGGUGGUUGUGAGGAUCGAAUGGAUGAUGUUCAAGUUGAGGAUCUAAUUGUGGAAGUGGAGUUCGAGCUAGAGAAUGAUGGGGACAAUGCAAAGACAGCUGAUUCUUGUGACAGAUUUAAGAGGGCACUUGAAAGUCAGAGUGACCCUCUGGCUGUUCAUUCUCAUCCUGGAGACAAAAUAAAUAAUAGUCGAGAUAAAACACCUGGGAUUGGAUCACUUGUGAAUUAUACUAGUAAAGAAAGGCCCAGUGAGGAAAAUGUCUGUGAAACAUAUGAGCUUUAACUUUUAGAAGAUGGAGAAAUGAUACCAGUGGAAGAUUUAGGACAUGUCGAUGACAGUAGACAUGAGAAGAUUGUUUAAAACCAACUGCAAGAAGAGCCUUACACAGCUUUAUUGUGUUGGAGAAGAAAAUAUUGUGGAUAUUUUACUUAAUUUAUGGAAAGGGGAUAUACCUGACACUGAAAAAUUGAGGGAAGAAAAGCAAGAAGAAGAGAAUGUAGACCCCAGAACUUUGAGAAAUGAAAUGUCUGAUUCUGAUAUAGAGCCAAUGUCGAUGCGCCUGAGGUGUGUUGCAUGAAGUAGUAAGAAAGCACAAUCUCGGGGUUGUUGAUUCACCAAAAAAGUUGCCCUCAUCAAAAGGUGCCAACCCAGUGAAAAAAAAAUCUCAGAAUGUUGACUUAUCUUAUAAGUUAUCCCUACUAAAAGGUGCUAAUCCAGAGAAAAUGGCUCGGGCUCGAAUUGAGAAAUCAACUGCCUCCAAAAAGUCUACACAAGCUUCCAGUCCACAAGAAUAAUUCAAAUUAUAUGCUGAUAAUUGAUAUCUCCAUGAGCAAUGCACAUGUACAGAAGAUCGGAAUUAUGGGAUGUCUUGGACCCCAAGCUUUGAAAAUGAGUAAGUGACCUUUAUUUAGGCAAACUAUAUUCUUUAGCCCCUCAGUUUCAUAGUUCUCACAUAUUGCCAGCUGCGUUAAUAUAGUUUGUUGUUUCCAUAUGCCCCCGAAUGAAAAUUCUGGUUUCACCAUACACAGUCACCGGAACACUCAGCGGAUUUGAAAGAGCCAUUACUUACUAGUAUAUAACAUGCGUUGAUGGAAUGAGAUUUGUUGUUUCCAGACUACUAUAACUAAAAAAAAAGAAUUGCGGAGCAUAUAUAUUAUAUGGUAACAUGAAUAAUUGGUUUAUUAAAACAUGGUGCUUGUCAUAAAACUGAAAUAUUUGGUAGUACUUCAUGGGUUAUUGCGUUUAAAUGGGGCUGUACCGGGACAUUCAAUGAAUGAAACAAGUCAAGAAGGCGAAAUAUGGAGCUGGUACCGGGACUUGGAAUGAAUGCAACAUGUAAGUCAAGAACGUGCAAGAACUGCCAUCUUAGUCUCCUUGACUUAUUGUUACAUUUUCCAUGUAACUGCGGAAUCAUCAAUUCCAAGGAAAAAUUUUGUGUAGUCUAAGGGUCCACACAAAAUAGUAACGGGUCGACGGCAUUGGCACUGCAUUUUAAUCUUAUUCAAUGAUAUUCAAGGGAUCAUGUGUAUCCCAUCAUCUGUUAUUCCAAUAAAUUCAUAGGAUCAUAUGUGUCACAUCAUUUGUAGUUCCAAUCAAUUCAAGGGAUCAUGUGUAUCACUUCAUUUGUCAUUCCAAUGGGAUGAGCUCAGUUGGGUUAAUUUGGCCUCUUGCAGCAUAAACAAGAAAUUUCGAUCGCGAUAGAUCCGACUCAUGGUCACACCAAUUUUACAUACAAAAUCAAUAUUUGUUAGUUUUUGGUAAUAUUGUAAAGAAUAUAUAUACCCCGAUUCGUUUAACUAAAAUAAAUAGAAGAAGUCAUCAAUAAUCCAUUUGGUCUCCUAUAGUGAGCGUAAACAAUAUUAAUUUGAUUAAUUAGAGACAUACGAAAUCUGAUAAAAUCUGAUCAAUUAAACAUAUAUAUAUUACUUGAUUGAAUCUCAUCUAUCAUUAUUGUUUGUCUAUUGAAGUUUUACAAUAUUAAAUUAAUUAGGUUACCCCAUGUCGUAGCAUUUCGUUUCUCGAAAAAAUUUGGACUAUCUUCGUUGAAUGACUUUAUUCGUACAACAAUCAAUAAAAUGAUGAGAUGUAUAUGUUACUUGUAUUUUAAAAAUUUCAAUCAGUUAUACGUACGCUUUUAUGUCUUAAAUUCUCAUCAACGUGGAUAAAAACCAGCAAGUGAAUGUUAUUAAGUCAUGAAGUAUAUGCUUUCAUUUCGACCUUGUCUUCUUGCUUCUUCACAAUCUCAUUUUGGUUCAAUUAAACAAAUUACAAAUAAAUGCUUGUUACUAGCUAUUUUUAUGACCAAUCUCUGACCACCCCCUCCUUGCAAAUUCUUAUUCAUUGUGUGGGAGUAUAUUUUGUGCCGGAUUAUUUCCAUCUGCAGGAACAAUCCUCAGACUCCUCUGAUGGAGUAACCCUUCAGUCCUACUUUUAUGAACUAAACUUUCUUUCAUUUAGAGUUCAAGACAAAGGUUAAGAAAAUUAAAAAUGCAAUAAAAACAAAAACAAAAAUACAAAAAUAGUGGAAGGAUAUAUAAAAUUAAUGUUCUUCAAUUAAUUGGAUAAAAAAAUUUCAUGUUCUUAAUUAGUUUCACACCUCGGAUAGUUGAGAAAUUCAGAAUUCUUGCUUCUAUUACCAAGGGACAUGAACUCAUUGAUAUAAUAACUAUAUAGGCAACAAGCAAAGUGCGGACUGGAACGUUAUUCCUAUAACACUUUGACAUUGUUGUGAAAAAUUUUAAUAUACUCGCAAGCGCAUGAAUCUAAAAUUAGAAUAGUGGUAACGAGGUCGAACCACAUGGAUUGUUAUAAAUUGAAAAGUCUAAUUUAAAUCUAAUAUUGAUAUUAAUCCUAACCUAGUUGAGCAAAUUGAGUUUUUAAGAGAAUAAGAAAAUAAUUUUUAAAAAAAUGACAAUUCAAUAAGACAAAAAUUACUAAGGUUUCAGAAUGCACCAGCAUUCAACUAGUAAUUAUCUAAUUGUUAAUUAAUCCCCAAUUUUAGAGUUACUACUCAAAAUUAAUAUAUGUCAUCUCAUGGAUAUAAUAAUUAAGCCUAAUCAAAAGUAAUCUUAUGUAUAGGUUAUUUUUAUGCUUAAUAUUAUGAUAUUUGAGCAUCCUAUAUAAACAUAUUGAAUAAUAAAGAGUCAAAGUUUCAUAAGUACUCUGUGUAAACAAUUAAAUGAAAGAUACAGAAUCAAAGAUAAUCAUGUAUAAACUUUAUAGAUCCAAGUAUAGAUUUAGUCAAAUAUUAAUCUUAACAAUCAAUAAUGCAUGACAGAAUUAGUGAAAAAAAUUUAAUAACAUCCAACUAAUUAUGUGAAAUAAGAACUAUAAACAUUACAACACAUAUGUAGGGAAUUAAUUAAAUAAAAAGAUAAUUAUUUCAUUGAAUAGUAUUUCAUCCUUAAGCUCAAUAUAAGAAAAUUAGCUAGACAUACUUGAAUUGAGAGCAACAAAAUUAAUAAAAACCAUCCAUGGGAAUAUUGGAGCUCUGAUAUGGCUCUCGUCCUUUUCUUCUCUGUCUUGCGGCUACUGCUCCUGAAAAAGCCAAAAGUUUCGACUUAUAUAAUGUUACUGAUCGACCUAUUUCAUCCAAAGGCUAAAAGGCUUGGCUUUCUAAGCUUUGAUUUGAUCUUGCACGUGCUCUCCACUUAGAAUCACAUUAGGAUUUUCAUUCCUUUUUAAUGCCAUGCAUUAAAAUGGCAAUUGCUUCACACGUAAAUUUGAUGCAUCCCGUCUCAACUUGAAUUAAAUCUUAAUAAAUUAAUUCUUUUAAUUCUUUGUCCUUCAAUUGAUUCUCAAUUUAAUCUCUAUUGCUUCCUAAAUUAAACUUUUUUAUGCCCUCAAUUAAUUAAAAAUAACAAAUAAAAAUAACUGGCAAUUAUAUAAUUAAGGAUAAAAUAUGUCGAUAAAUUAUGUCCAUCAAACAUUUUACUUAUUUGAAAAAAGAAAAAAAAUGAAUGGGGAUUAUUCAAUUCUAUCAAUCCUUUUAUACAAUCACUUUGAAGGAAAGUGUUGUGAAAAUUUUAAUGUACUCGCAAGCGCACGAAUCUAGAGAUAGAAUAGUGGUAACGAGGUCGAUCCCACAGGGAUUGUUAUAAAUUGAAAAAGUCUAAUUUAAAUCCAAAAUUAAUAUUAAUCCUAACCUAGUUGAGCAAAUUGAGUUUUAAGAGAAAUCAAACUAAUUAAACUAAGGAAGCAAUUAAAAUAAAGGAGAAUUCAAUAAGAUAAGAAUUACCAAGGUUUCAGAAUCUACCACUAUUCAACUAGUAAUUAUCUAAUUAUUAAUUAAUCCCCAAUUUUAGAGUGACAACUCGAAAUCAAUCUAUGUCAUCUCAUGGAUAUAACAAUUAAGCCCAAGUAAUUAAAUCUAAUGUAGGUUCUUUUUCUGCUUAAUAAUAUGACAUCUAAGAAUCUCAUGUAAACAUAUUGAAUAACAAAGAGUCAAAAUUUCCUAAGCACUCCAUGUAAACAAUUUAAUGAAAGACAUAAAAUCAAAGAUAAUCAUGUAUAAACUUUAUAGAUCCAAGCAUAGAAUUAAUCGAAUAUUAAUCCUAACAAUCAAUAAUGCAUGACAGAAUUGAUGAAAAGAUUUUAAUAACUUCCAAUUAAUCAUGUGAAAUAAAAACCAUAAUCAUCAAAGAACAUAUAUAGGGAAUUAAUUAAAUAAAAAGAGAUAAUUAUUUCAUUGAAUAGGGUUUCAUCCUUAACCUCAGUAUAAGAAAAUUAGCUAGACAUACUUGAAUUGUAUUGCUUCCUUGUUUGCCUCCUCAGUCACCAGAGCCUUCGGCCGCAAAGCAUCAAUUCUUGUCGGCGGCACAGCUUUUCUUGCUGGUUCAGCCCUCGGAGGAGCCGCAUUUAACAUUUACAUGCUUAUAUUCGGGCGUGUGUUGCUUGGUGUUGGCAUUGGUUUUGCAAACCAAGUAAGUGUUUGAUUAUUAUUAUUAUUAUUAUUUGGUUUGUUGAUCCGUUAGUUUUAAUUUGUUGGUUGUAGUCAGUGCCACUAUAUCUCUCAGAAAUGGCACCACCAAAACACAGAGGAGCAUUCAACAUUGGCUUUCAAGUUUGUAUUGCCAUUGGUGUUUUAUCCGCUAAUCUUCUCAACUACGGCACCCAAAAGAUCAAGGGCGAUUGGGGCUGGAGAAUAUCCCUAGCGAUGGCUGCAGCGCCUGCUUCAAUACUAACAUUAGGUGCACUUUUCAUGCCAGAAACACCAAACAGCAUAAUCCAGCGCAGCAAUGACCACCAAGAGGCUAAAAGGAUGCUGCAGCGUGUGCGCGGCACAGCUGAUGUUGAAGCUGAACUCAAUGAUCUUAUCAGAGCAAGCUCCAUCUCAAAAACUAUCAACCACCCAUUUAACAAAAUCAUACAAAGGAAAUACAGGCCUCAGCUAGUAAUGGCAAUACUGAUACCAUUUUUCCAACAAGUGACAGGAAUCAAUAUCAUUGGAUUAUAUGCUCCAGUACUACUCAGGACACUUAAACUAGGUGAAAGUGCAUCAUUACUCUUGUCUGCAGUUGUGACUGGUGGUAUAGGCACAGUUUUAACAAUCAUAUCAAUGAUUCUAGUCGAUAAACUUGGCAGGAAAAUAUUGUUUUUAGUUGGGGGUAUACAGAUACUUGUUUCACAAGUAAUUAUUGGUUCAAUCAUGGCUGCUGAGCUCGGUGAUCACGGGGGAUUGAGCCAAAGUUAUGCUUACUUAAUUUUAGUCCUGGUAUGUGUAUAUUCAGCCGGGUUUUCAUAUUCAUGGGGGCCAUUGGCAUGGUUGGUUCCGAGCGAAAUUUUUCCAUUGGAGAUUAGAUCAGCAGGGCAAAGUAUUACCGUUGCAGUUACCCUUGUGUUUAUUUUCUUCAGUGCGCAAACACUUUUAGCGAUGCUUUGCCAUUUUAAGGCAGGGAUUUUCUUCUUCUUUGGAGGAUGGGUAAUGGUGAUGACUACAUUUAUGCACUUAUUUUUGCCAGAGACUAAGAAUGUGCCGAUUGAGCAGAUGGAUAAAAUCUGGAGACAACAUUGGUUUUGGAAGAAAUAUGUGGGUGACGUGGAUGAAGAGGGUAAGAUGUAAAAGGCCUAAUUUAUCCCCCAAGGGCGUAAUCGAGUUGGUAACAGCAUAAAACUUGUAGUUGCUGAUCAUCUAAAUUCGAUUAUGGGUGUACUAAGGGGGGAAAAUAAAAUAAAAAUUAUUUAGUCUUUACCCACUCCUUACUUUAUUUAAAAAAAAAAAAAAAAAAAAAAAAAAAAGACUCGAUUUCUACUUAAUUUUGCCUGUAAGUUUCAAACUUUCAAUAUUUGUGCUCUGCAUUUUAUUUGACUUAUUAAUUCGCUGUAAUUCUUUUGUCGGAGAUUCUUUUAUGCUGUGUUUAAAUAUAAGCACUAAGCCCAUCAAAAUCCUUUACCUGAGAAAAGCUACCAAGUCCAUCAAAAUCUAUAGACAUCCAAUGGUUAAACGCGUUGAAUAACAGCCCACUUGAAGUAAAUAACACCUGAAGCAAAUAAUCACUUUCCUUUUAACAAAAAAAAUUUUAAUAACAAAAAAUUUAUUUUUUUGAAUGGCGUUUUGAGGGAACAUUGACUUAUUUAAAAGAAUUUCGUGGGCAAAGUGGAUGGGCAUGGCAACAUGGAAGAGAAAUGAUAUUCAUUUUAUCGAAAUGAGGAUUAAGUUAAAAGAUUAAAAUAAAUACAUAUAUAUUUAAAUAUUUUAUUUUAUUUUUCAACAAAGUAUAUAUAUAUAUAUAUAUAUACACACACACUUACUUUUAAUUUGAUCUUUAUUUUAGUGAAAUGAAGAUUUUUCUCCGGGACCUACAUGCAUUUAGAUCAACAAAGGUGUUAGAAAAAAGGUCCUCUUUGACUUGAUGACUAAACGUUUGGUAGGACUCAGCAGUUUUACUUUGAUAAUUGGCCGCUGACUCUUUAUCAAAGCAGUUGUGAAUUACACGUAGCACCUCGUAUUAAUUAGUGGUCAACAGUCAACAACCACAAACCCCGCUUGCGGCUACCAUGAUUACAAGGUCAUAAUGCUGCUAGAAAAAGGAAAAACAUUUUAAAUUUUUUAUCCUAAAUUUUAUCUUAAAUAAUAUACUAUUUAUUGAUUGAUUAAUAAUUUUUUAUAAGAUUCAAAUAAAUUUAUUUUAUUAUUCUUACCCACUAAUUUUUUACAAGAUCAUAAUGUCACAUUAUUUAAAAUAAAUUUUUAAGAUAAAAAUUUUAAAAUACGUAGCACUAAUUAAUAGAAAAAUAUUAAAACUGAAGGUUGAAAGAGUGCUAACAGAAAUGACAAUACAUGGGAAGAGUUUAUAUGAUAAUUAAUUAUUUUUCAAUUAAUACAGUAACUCUGGUCGGAUAUGAAGUUAUUUCUUGCUGUUAAAAUCUUCUGUUUAGAUUCUCAUGAUAUUAGUGUUUUCUAUGCGCCUGAGUCAAGAAAGACUGCACGCAGCUACUUUUUAAACCUUCACUAUCUGCAAUCUUGAUCACAAAUUAACGACACUUCUAACUUUUCUCACUCUCCUUUCUCUCUUGCUGUGAGUGCUGAUUAGUUUUGAAGAUAAAGCAGCAGCCAAUAUGGCAGCAGGCUUAGCAAUAACUAGUGAAGGCGGGCGGUAUUACAACGGGAAGAUGACUGUAUUUGUUGUCUUGUCUUGUAUUGUUGCUGCCACCGGUGGGCUUAUAUUCGGCUAUGAUAUUGGAAUUUCAGGUUUUUUUUUUUUUUUUCUGCUCAUAUAUAUCACCGUCAUGAUUUACAUAUAACUCAUCAAGCACCUGAUGGUUUAAAACCUCUAGUUAUCUUUAUUCCCCAGCCGAUCAAAGACCUUGAAUUGGGGUUAGCUUACAGGGUUCCUUACAAUUGUGAAUUUGUGAAUUUGUAUGUGAUUAAGGUGGAGUGACAUCAAUGGAGCCAUUUUUGAAGAAGUUUUUCCCGGAAGUGUACAGAAAGAUGAAAGAAGACACCAAGAUAAGCAAUUAUUGCAAGUUUGACAGCCAAUUAUUAGCCGCGUUCACGUCCUCUCUGUACAUUUCUGGCCUCAUAGCUUCCUUAUUUGCCUCCACAGUCACCAGAGCCUUCGGCCGCAAGGCAUCAAUCCUGGUCGGCGGCACGGCAUUUCUUGCUGGUUCAGCCAUAGGGGGCGCUGCAUUAAACAUUUACAUGCUGAUAUUUGGGCGUGUGUUGCUAGGUGUUGGGAUUGGUUUUACAAACCAAGUAAGUGUUUUAACUAUUUUUAUUUUCAAACUGUUUGAUUUGUUGAACAAUUUUCAAUUAGUUUUGAUUUUGUUGUUUGCAGUCAGUGCCGCUAUAUCUCUCAGAAAUGGCACCACCAAAACACAGAGGAGCAUUCACCAUUGGCUUCCAAGUAUGUGUUGCCAUUGGUGUCCUAUCCGCUAAUCUUCUCAAUUACGGCACCCAAAAGAUCAAGGGGGGCUGGGGCUGGAGAAUCUCCCUGGCAAUGGCUGCUGCUCCUGCAUCAAUAUUAACAAUAGGUGGACUUUUCCUGCCCGAAACACCCAACAGCAUAAUCCAGCGCACCAAUGACUACCAAAAGGCUGAAAAGAUGCUGCAGCGUGUGCGCGGCACAGCUGAUGUUCAAGCAGAACUCGAUGAUCUCAUCAGAGCAGGCUCUGUUUCAAAAAACAUUAACCACCCAUUUAAGAAAAUCAUACAAAGAAAAUACAGACCUCAGCUAGUAAUGGCAAUACUGAUACCAUUUUUUCAACAAGUGACAGGAGUCAAUAUCAUUUCAUUCUAUGCUCCUGUACUCUUUAGGACCAUUAAGCUAAGCGAAAAUACAUCAUUACUGAUGUCUGCACUUGUCACUGGUGGUAUAGGUACAGUUUCAGCAAUCUUGCCAAUGAUUCUAGCAGAUAAACUUGGCAGGAAAGUAUUGUUUCUACUUGGGGGAAUACAGAUGCUAGUGUCACAAGUAAUGAUUGGAUCAAUCAUGGCAGCUCAACUUGGUGAUCACGGAGGAUUCAGCAUAGGCUAUGCUUACUUAAUUUUGGUUCUAAUUUGUGUAUACAAAGCUGGGUUUGGUUUUUCAUGGGGGCCAUUGGGAUGGUUGGUUCCAAGUGAAAUUUUUCCAUUGGAGAUUAGAUCAGCAGGGCAAAGCAUUACUGUUGCUGUUGGUCUUUUGUUUACUUCCUUAGUUGCUCAAACAUUUUUAGCCAUGCUUUGCCAUUUUAAGGCGGGGGUUUUCUUCUUCUUUGGAGGAUGGCUGACAGUGAUGACUACAUUUGUGCACUUUUUUCUGCCUGAGACUAAAAAUGUUCCAAUUGAGCUGAUGGAUAAAGUUUGGAGAGAGCAUUGGUUUUGGAGGAAAUUUUUUGAUGAUGUAGGGGAAGAAAGUAAGAUACAAGGAGCGGUAUGAUACAAAUUUUAAUGAAGGUUUGGAAGUACUUACAAGUGAUUAGCUAAAUUUUUAACAGUUGUGUAUUUACUUCUAGUGUAGAUACACCUGAAGUACUUUCAGAGAAAAUCAGAAGGGACUGUUACGCCAACAGGUACUAUAGUAGAGCUACUUGAAAACGGAGAAUAAAACGAAGAAAAUGCAGAAAGAAACUUCUUUUUGAGACAUAACUAUGAUUACUGCUGUAGCAAAUCUUGAGAUCUUCCAUAAUUCAGUAGUGUUAAAGUUGUUAUGGUAUUAUUGGUAUUAUCUCGGAAUGCUUCCAUAUAAAUUACGUGUGUCCUCUACAGCUCUUCUUGAAGCCGUUAUUUGCCAAUUUCAACCUGCACUCCCAGACUUCUCAGUUCCCACCAAUAAUUAUUCACUCUUUCAGCCAUGAUGCAUUCUCAAAACGAAUAAACAAUGGUUUCUCGAGAACACUUGUAAAUAAAAUCCCUUUUAUAAAAAUAUCUUAAUUUUAUUAAAAUAUUAUAAAAGAAAAUAAAUACUUAUUUGAAUAGCGUGCAGAGGGAGCAUUGGUUUUGUGGGGUAGUGGAUGACUUGAGUUAUUAAUCUUAGCUUAAUAUGGCAAAUAUUUGCAGGGCAAACAUCAGAGAAAAAUGUUACCAUUUCAUUGAUAAUGCUUGAAAAAACGAAAUGGCGAAUACAAAAGUAGUUUGUAUAUGCAUACAAAUAGGGCAAGCUGUAAGAUAAGAUCGGCUCACUAAAUUCAGCCUCUGCUGGCACAAAUCCAGCCGUCAGUUAUCAUCUAGGAUUCUCUCCUAUGCAUAUGCUGAUUGCUGAGGCUGCUCUGUGCAGUUGUUUGGCCAUGUCACUGUUGCCACUUCGCUUGCUGACUUAUUUUGCUUCACAGAUACUGCGGCUUCCUCGGCAUGUUAACUGUAUUAUUAUUAAGUGUGCUUCUUGGUUAGUAUGUGUUGAUUCUUCACAGCAGCUAUUAUUAUCAAUAUGAUAUUUAUAAAGUAAUUAUUCAAUCAAGAAAUCUUUUAUUUUUGUGAAGUGAAAAAUAAAUUAAAAAAAAAAAAGAAAGGCAAGGACUAUAUAUAUUCAAAAAUUAACUUUAUUAAGCGGCAUGGCUUAGAAGUAUGUUUGCAUGAAAAAAAAAAUGACUUGCAUAUAUGGAGUCCUUUUGUAGUGCGAGCGACCUCUUUUUUUUUUCAUGUGAACAUGUUAUAAGAUUCCAAUUAAGAGAGUUAAUUUUUAAUACUAUUAAAUUGUAGAGCUUUAUAUUUCAUUCAAAAAUAAUCCCGUUAAACCCCAUAGCCUAAAGUGUAUCCACAUUAAAAAAAAAAAAAGAACACGUCCGCACAUGAGAAUGACUGUAUAUUUAUUGGUGAAUGACUGUAUAUUUAUUGGUAUUCAAGUUUUAAUAUUUAUGCUAUGAAUUCUGUUAUUUUGACUACUAAUUGCAAAUUUUGGGGCUUUAAGCAAAAUCAAACAGACGGCACACCAACUUUGACUUGUCAAUUCAUCAUAGUUGAUUAUUUUGUAAGAGAUUCUGCACUUGAAAAGCUGGUGAUUCUACUUGACUUCGAAAGCUCAAUAACUAAAUAUUUGGUAACACUCGCUAUUCUAAUCUUUUGAUAAUUAGCAAGUGACUCUUCUUCCAGAGUAGUAGUACACAACACCUCAAUUGAUGGCUAUAGGCGCAAAGCAUUGAUAUUUCAGGGUUAUUGAUCCAAUAUUUUAUACUUAUAAUGGAUUUUGUUGAUGCCGAAAAACGACAUCAAUGGCUGAAUUUGUUUCUUUUGAGGAAUUACAGUGUGAAUCCAAGCUCAAACGCAAGUCUGAUCGCAACUUUCUAUAUCUGCCAACCAGAAAACAUGGUUAGGACACGCCGGUGGGAUUCCGGCGUAGACCCUCCGAUGCUUAAGUAAGAAAUUAUGUAUAAAAUGAGAAAAAUGAGAAUGAAGAAUUAUGAAUGAGUUAAAGUCAAGUAAUUUUCCGGUAGAGGGGCUGAACAUCUUGUAGAAGCUUUGGUUGAUUUUGCUAACCCUUUCACCUGAUGCGCUCUUCAAUUUAAAUAGACUCUUGGUCGUGUACGGUUACCUCCUUAAUUUCAGCCCGCUUUCUUCAACAGUUGCAAGUGGUUGUCAGUUGGAGAUGGUUUAAAUAGAUCGUGACACACAACUUCCCUAUAAAUUAGGUCACGUUCUCUUAACUAGCAAUUUUUCAUGUCAAGCUAAUUCUCAGGUCGGAUUACUUCACUUUCAGAUCAUACAGAUGAAUUUCUCAGUCGCUCAUAUAGCGUUGAGAUUGUAUUCUUAAAUUAGGUCAUUCACAUAGAUCUUAGGUCAUACUUGUAAAUCAGGUCGCCAACAUAGGCUCCAGGUUGUACUUAUGAGGUCAGUUCAACAACCAGAGGUGGCAAAAAUACCCGCCAAGUCCAGAUCAGGACCGUACCCAGGUGUUCUGGGCCGGGUAUGAAGCGGGGUCGGUCUUGGGCAUCACUUGAUAAAUCCGGAACCCGAAUUUUAUUAAAAAAAUAUUAUAAAAUAUACAUUAUUUUAAAUAUUUAUAUUUAUUUGACUCAUUUGUUAUACAUAUAUAAAGUUUUAAACACUUAAAGUUUAUAUUUUCAUGUCAAAUUUUAUUGAAAUAAAUUUAAAACUUAUAAAAUUACUAAAAAAUAAAAAAUAUAUACACAUAUAAUAUUAAAAAAUAUAAAAUUCGGGUACCCGGAUUAAAACCCGGCCCGGACCCGGACCCGGACCAGUUGCAUCCAGGCAGGGUCCGGUCAUUACAAUACCUGGACCCGGCCUGAGGUUUUGCCAUCCCUAUCAACAACAAUAAGUUCUGAAUAGAUUAGGAUCGACUAUAUUUUGAGACACUACCAGAAAAAUCCAACCCAAACAGAUUUCCCGAAGCACUACAUCUUGAAUUUUCCAAUGAGUUACUCAGCAGCUGCUAUUUCUAUCUUGACUCCGUACGCUUUCACAAAAAUUAGUUCUUCAAUAAUCAACAACCCCACGCAUAUAUUGCCACGUGUUUUUAUUUUCUUAAUUUGUUUAUUUAUUUAUCAAGGCACGUACAUUAGUGAAAUGUGAACACGGACCUUGGCCUCAAAGCACACGCUGCCAUGUUGAUCAUAACUCCAAAGGCCAUGCAUGACUCACGAUGCUGAUAUUAGUGUAUACGGCUACAAGUCAAGAAAGACUGCAGCUACUUUUAAGCCUUCGCCUUCUGCAAUUAAUCUUCAACACACACACACACCGCUGUCUCUUUUCUCUUCUUUAUAUAAGUUGCUAUAAUCAGUCCUGCUUAUCAGUUUUGAAGAUUCAGUUUAGCUAUCCGCAGUCGAUAUGGCAGCAGGCUUUGCAAUAACUAGUGAAGGUGGGCAGUAUUACAAUGGGAAGAUGACUGCAUUUGUUGUCUUGUCUUGUAUUGUUGCUGCCACUGGAGGUCUUAUUUUCGGCUAUGAUAUUGGAAUUUCAGGUCUGUUUAUCUACUUAAAUUGUAUUUGUAUAUCUCUUUGUUCCUCAGCUCGAAAUUUAUUGAUUGGUUAAAUUCUCCAAUUUCUUCUUGUCGCUUCAUUCUAUCAAGCCCAUCACUGAUCUUGGAUUAACGUAUACAUAGCUAGUGGAAUGUUUUUAGAAAAUCAACCAAACUUUUGAAAAUCUUUAUCCUAUGUGCCAAGUAAAAGUGCAUGUUAAUUAUCAAAUAUUUUAGCUAUCUAGUGACUUACGAUUAGUAUUUACUAAACACUUUAGUUCGAUUGCUUAUAAAAUUAAACCGAAUUAUAACAGUUAGAAACAUAUUUGAGUUUAACAUACAUGUUCAAAAUAUACAGUAAACUGAUAUAUAUAUAUAGUGCGUAAGUCCAUCUUGUGAAAUGCAGGUUUCAGGCAGGCAAAAUAAUAAAACGUUACAAACUUCCAUGCACUGUAAAGACAAAAAUAUUGUAUUAGAGUUCAUAGUUUUUUUUUUUUUAACAAUCAUUUUGUAGAUAACUAAUGGCAAUUAACUUGCAGAAAUUAAUACGUAUCUCUUUGCUUGAGAAUUAUUAAUUACAAUCUUUCAAGGUAUGUUAUUAAUUAUACCAUAGGAGUCAAUGAAUCCUUUGGUCUCACAUGGCGUGCUUUGGCAUGAUAACUGAUAGUGACGGAUUUGACGAAAAAUGCUAUGAUUAAUAAUAGAUUGCCAAUUAAUUUGUGUGGACAGAUUUCAAUGUAACUUAAGAAGUGUUGAACUACGAUGUGAAACUUUGUAAUUUCAAAGCACCCAAAAGUUUGAAUUUUUCUCACGCGAGUCAUUGUUUUUCGUAAUUAAUAAUGAAUAAACCAAACGUUUCGAAAAUAUUAUAGUUUAAUCCUUUCUAAUAACAUUUUGCAGUCUUUGAGUCUUGACUAAGCCUUUCUGUAUGGUUAGUAAGAGCCGAUUUAAAUUCUCAAACGAAACUUAAAAAUUUAAUUGUGUAUAUUUAUGCUAAGGUGGAGUGACAUCAAUGGAGCCAUUUUUGAAGAAAUUCUUCCCAGAAGUGUACAGAAAAAUGAAAGAAGACACCAACAUUAGCAAUUACUGCAGGUUUGACAGCCAACUAUUAACCACCUUCACGUCCUCUCUAUACAUUGCUGGCCUUAUUGCCUCCUUAUUUGCCUCCUCAGUCACCAGAGCCUUCGGCCGCAAGGCAUCAAUUCUUGUCGGCGGCACAGCUUUUCUUGCUGGUUCAGCCCUCGGAGGCGCUGCAUUUAACAUUUACAUGCUUAUAUUUGGGCGGGUGUUGCUUGGCGUUGGCAUUGGUUUUGCAAACCAAGUAAGUGUUUGGUUAUUUUAUUUUUUCCAAGCAUUUGAUUUGCUCAACAAUUUUCAAUUGGUUUUAAUUUGCUGGUUGCAGUCAGUGCCACUGUAUCUCUCAGAAAUGGCACCACCAAAAAACAGAGGAGCGUUCAACAUUGGCUUCCAAGUAUGUGUUGCCAUUGGUGUCCUAUCCGCUAAUCUUCUCAAUUACGGCACCCAAAAGAUCAAGGGGGGCUGGGGCUGGAGAAUCUCCCUGGCAAUGGCUGCUGCUCCUGCAUCAAUAUUAACAAUAGGUGCACUUUUCCUGCCAGAAACACCCAACAGCAUAAUCCAGCGCAGCAAUGACCACCAAAAGGCUGAAAGGAUGCUGCAGCGUGUGCGUGGCACAGCUGAUGUUCAAGCAGAACUCGAUGAUCUCAUCAGAGCAGGCUCUGUUUCAAAAAACAUUAACCACCCAUUUAAGAAAAUCAUACAAAGAAAAUACAGACCUCAGCUAGUAAUGGCAAUACUGAUACCAUUUUUUCAACAAGUGACAGGAGUCAAUAUCAUUUCAUUCUAUGCUCCUGUACUCUUUAGGACCAUUAAGCUAAGCGAAAAUACAUCAUUACUGAUGUCUGCACUUGUCACUGUCAGGCUAUGCUUACUUAAUUUUGGUUCUAGUUUGUGUAUAUACUACUGGGUUUGCUUAUUCAUGGGGGCCAUUGGGAUGGUUGGUUCCAAGUGAAAUUUUUCCACUAGAGAUUAGAUCAGCUGGGCAGAGCAUUACUGUGGCAGUCGGUCUUUUGUUUACUUUCUUGGUUGCUCAAACAUUUUUAGCCAUGCUUUGCCAUUUUAAGGCAGGGAUUUUCUUCUUCUUUGGAGGAUGGGUGGCAUUUAUGACGACAUUUGUGCACUUCUUUUUACCUGAGACAAAAAAUUUACCAAUUGAGCAGAUGGAUAAACUGUGGGUAGAGCAUUGGUUUUGGAGGAGAAUAGUUGGGGAAGGAGUGGAAGACAGUAAGAUACAAGAAGCACUAUAAUACUUGUAAGGGAUACCAGGAAACAAUAAACUCAUCACUUUUUCCAAAGGCUGGCUAGCUGCUCUUUCUUCUUGCUCUGAUAGUGAAGCCAAAUAAAACUCCAAGCUCUGAUGUUAAUUCUUCAAAAUAUUUGUAACAGCCCCACAUGCUACUAUAAUAAUAUAUAUUUUUUUUUUAUCAUAGUGUUCCAUGUUGAUCAUAUGGUGAUGCUGAUAUUAUUGUCUACGCCUACAUAAUUCAAGAGAGAGAGAGAGAGAUCCUCUUACUUUAUUAAGCCUUCACUAUCUGCAAAAUUUUGAACACACUACUCUGUCUUCUCGUGUCGUCUUUCUCUUGCUGUGAGUGCUGAUCAGUUUUGAAGAUUAAGCAGCAGCAGAUAUGGCGGUGGGCUUAGCAUUUACUAGUGAAGGUGGUGGGCAAUAUUACAAUGGGAAGAUGACUCCAUUUGUUGUCCUGUCAUGUAUUGUUGCUGCCACUGGAGGUCUUACUUUCGGCUAUGAUCUUGGAAUUUCAGGUUUGUUUCUGCACAUUUGUAUCUCCUUAAUGAUAUUUAUACAAUCCAAUUGGCUUGAUCAAUCUCGUUCCUCAAAUUACCUUGAUUCUGUUCAAUUCUCUCACCGAUCAAUGAUCUCGGAUUAAGCUAUAGCUAGCGGACUUUCUUAGGCUCUCUAUAGCACUCUUGUUGUCUAACAGCAGCUAUAAAAUGGCUGGCAAAUAUUCAUAACCAUAGUUUGGGAAGUUCAAGUGAUUCUACUAUACAAUUGUUUGAUAAAAUACCUAUGUUAUCCCUAAUAUUUUUGUCCAAAUUAUUGUUUAAAUUCAUGUUUAUAAAAAAAAAUAAAAAAUCUAUUUCACAGCAGUUUGACAUAAAAAAUUUCUCUCCUAAUCUCUCGUAGUGAAAUAAGUGGCCAAGAUUGAAUUUUAAAUUUUGAUAUUAACAAUUAAACCAGCUUUGUUUAUUUUAUUACAAUUAAAACAACUUUUUUUUUAUUAAAUUUAAAAGACUAGGAGAGACUGGGAGAGAAAAACACUAGGAGAAGAUACUAAUUCGAAAAAAUCAUACCACCACAAUUCCAAACAGAGGCUUAGUUGUUAACUUGUUACUGUUUUACUUUAGUUACAAUUAAAAGUAGGGAAAUUGUCAGUUUUCUUAUUACUAAAGUCAAUAUAUACCUUCUUGUCCUAAUGGGUAUGGUCUUAUUCUUGAUGAUUGUCUAGCUUUAGCUAAGUCUAUAGGAGAUAUUGAGUUCUCUUUUGUUCAAAGGUCUGCGAACACUGCCGCCCAUGUUACUGCUCGGGUGGGGGGUUCUUUGUCAGGCUUUGAGGAGUGGAAUCAUGUUCCACCUCCUUGGUUAUUUACUUCUCUGUAAUCUUUGCCCUUUAAUGAAGUUUCCAGUUUCAAAAAAAAAAAAAAGAGCCCUUCAUAUCUCCACUUUCGUGAAAUUGCACAAAAGGCCAUAAAUGGAUGGUAGAAGAAAAAGUUGAUCAUCAUCCAUCACGAAGAAAAUCUCGCAUGGAGUUGCUUUAUGCUGGCUCCCAAUAAUUGUUUGACCGGAUGAAAUUCCUACGUAUUUCUGGACCUGUCUACGAUACAGAUUCUGUAACAAACAUCACCCAUCAUCCCACCAUCCCAUUUUCUAUUGUUUAGUUUCUCACUCCGCAUCCAACCACAUCCAACGGCUGAUACUGCAGUCUGUAGCUUACGGAUUCUGUAAGCUAGUCAAGUCCCGUAUUUCUUUCAUUCAUUUCCCAUAAAUUUUGAAAUAAAUAAAUUUCAAUUUCUAAGUAUUUGAGGCCGGCCACGUACAAAAUCAAUUGGGCAUGCCCUGAUAUUGCCUCGAAGUCACGUAGUGCAGAAGUGAAGCCAUUUUAGGGUAUGUAUUAAAAAAGAUAAAGAUCCUCUCCUAAUCUGGGCUCUCAUAAGCUUUUAAUAAUCGUUUAUCAUGUGUAUUUAAGUGAUAGUCUAUUAAUAUAAUUUGACUUCUUCAUUUUCUUUACUUAUUAACUACCAAUCACCCAUAUAUAUUUUUGUUCAGGAAUAAAUCAGAUCAUGAGAGAAUCUUAAUCCUUUAAAAAAACCCAAUAAAAAAUAAUUUUCAAAUGAGAAAACAUCGAAUUAAUGAUAAAUAUAAAUUUAUAGAAAAUAAUUUAAAAUAUUAUUAAUAAAAAAAUUUAAAGAUAUUAAAAUAAAUUAUGAAUAAUAAUAUUAAUAGUUAACUUAAUCUUAAUUAUUCUCAGCAGAGUUCUAUUGCUCUAUUUCUUGAUAUGUUUUUACAUACUGUAGGAGUCAACGAAUCCCUUGGUAUCACAAAGCUUGCUUGGCAUGAUAGUGACGGAUUUGAAAAUGAUUGCAAGGAUCAUUAUUAAUAGAUUUCCAACUAUUUGCUUUUGACAGAUAUCAAGGUUUACUUUUUCAGUAGCCCUGAGACGAAGGGAAAAAUACAAAAACGUGCAACAAGUAGUUGCAUGUCCGUUUCUUAUAAAAAGGAUCACGUAAACUUGAAAACAUCAACCUACUUGUUUAAUUAAUUUUGGUGAAUACAAAGGAAAAAGACAAAAAAAGAAAAAGAAAAAGGAAUGGAUAGGUAUGAAAGAAUCGUGCAUUUGAGUAAAAUUUUCUACCGAAUUUAAAAUAUUGACUUGUGAAGGUGGAGUGACAUCGAUGGAACCAUUUCUGAAGAAAUUCUUCCCAGAAGUGAACAGAAAUAUUGACUUGUGAAGGUGGAGUGACUUUCUACCGAAUUUAAAAUAUUGACUUGUGAAGGUGGAGUGACAUCGAUGGAACCAUUUCUGAAGAAAUUCUUCCCAGAAGUGUACAAAAACAUGAGAGAAGACACCAAUGUUAGCAACUACUGCAAGUUUAACAGCCAACUAUUAACCACCUUCACCUCCUCUCCAUUCAUUGCUGGCCUUAUUGCUUCCUUAUUUGCUUCCAAAGUCACGAGAGCCCUCGGCCGCAAGGCAUCAAUCCUGGUCGGUGGCGUGGCUUUUCUAGCCGGCUCAGCCCUCGGCGGUGCUGCAUUUAACGUGUACA